Molecule: ribosomal RNA, 467 nt
Filed under: uncultured bacterium
Lineage: Bacteria
Description: bacterial SSU rRNA
Rfam family: Bacterial small subunit ribosomal RNA
Source: RNAcentral
UCCAGACUCCUACGGGAGGCAGCAGUGAGGAAUAUUGGUCAAUGGGCGAGAGCCUGAACCAGCCAAGUCGCGUGAGGGAAGACGGUCCUAUGGAUUGUAAACCUCUUUUGUCGGGGAGCAAAAAGGCCUCGUGAGGCCACAAGUGAGAGUACCCGAAGAAAAAGCAUCGGCUAACUCCGUGCCAGCAGCCGCGGUAAUACGGAGGAUGCGAGCGUUAUCCGGAUUUAUUGGGUUUAAAGGGUGCGUAGGCGGAAUAUCAAGUCAGCGGUAAAAAUUCGGGGCUCAACCCCGUCGUGCCGUUGAAACUGAUGUUCUUGAGUGGGCGAGAAGUAUGCGGAAUGCGUGGUGUAGUGGUGAAAUGCAUAGAUAUCACGCAGAACUCCGAUUGCGAAGGCAGCAUACCGGCGCCCAACUGACGCUGAAGCACGAAAGCGUGGGUAUCGAACAGGAUUAGAUACCCGGGUAUU